GACGAACGCUGGCGGCGUGCUUAACACAUGCAAGUCGAACGGAAAGGCCCUGCUUUUGUGGGGUGCUCGAGUGGCGAACGGGUGAGUAACACGUGAGUAACCUGCCCUUGACUUUGGGAUAACUUCAGGAAACUGGGGCUAAUACCGGCUAGGAGCUCCUGCUGCAUGGUGGGGGUUGGAAAGUUUCGGCGGUUGGGGAUGGACUCGCGGCUUAUCAGCUUGUUGGUGGGGUAGUGGCUUACCAAGGCUUUGACGGGUAGCCGGCCUGAGAGGGUGACCGGCCACAUUGGGACUGAGAUACGGCCCAGACUCCUACGGGAGGCAGCAGUGGGGAAUAUUGCACAAUGGGCGGAAGCCGGAUGCAGCAACGCCGCGUGCGGGAUGACGGCCUUCGGGUUGUAAACCGCUUUCGCCUGUGACGAAGCGUGAGUGACGGUAAUGGGUAAAGAAGCACCGGCUAACUACGUG
This 468-nucleotide ribosomal RNA is filed under the name uncultured bacterium. Its description in RNAcentral is "partial 16S ribosomal RNA". It matches the Rfam family "Bacterial small subunit ribosomal RNA", at positions 28 to 507 of the family's 1533-position model. The record is from RNAcentral.